Molecule: long non-coding RNA, 380 nt
Organism: Solanum dulcamara
Lineage: Eukaryota; Viridiplantae; Streptophyta; Magnoliopsida; Solanales; Solanaceae
Exons: 3
Source: RefSeq, a predicted model, not a curated record
AAAAGUAGUGAUUUGUGUAUUUUGAAUGAAGACAGUCAAUUGGACAGACUUUCGUAAAUGCCCUCAGUGGCCAUUUUCCUUUGUAUGGUCUAGAGUUUUUUAUUUUUUAACAUGGUCUAGAUUUUUUGAUUUUGUGCCAUGUAAGAGAAUGGGGAAUUGUAUGUUUUCUGAUUUUGUUGAUGUUUUGAGGAUCGAUAGAGGUGGGCUGCUGAGAAUAUGGCAAGUCGUGCUUAUAUGCAGAUUUAAUCACUUAGACUAGUCUCACAAAAGGCAGUGAACGGUAUCUGUUGCUAUAGGCAUUGGGACCUUCUAUGUGAAGGUGGAUGACGAUGGAUCUGGUGUUUCACGAGAUGGACUGGUGCUGAUGGGAGAAAAGUAUG